RNAcentral lists this unclassified non-coding RNA (253 nucleotides) under uncultured Gammaproteobacteria bacterium. Its description in RNAcentral is "contains 16S-23S intergenic spacer region". It matches the Rfam family "Bacterial small subunit ribosomal RNA", at positions 524 to 776 of the family's 1533-position model. Lineage: Bacteria; Pseudomonadati; Pseudomonadota; Gammaproteobacteria. The record is from RNAcentral.
UACAGAGGGUGCAAGCGUUAAUCGGAAUUACUGGGCGUAAAGCGCGCGUAGGCGGUUGUGUAGGUUGGAGGUGAAAUCCCCGGGCUCAACCUGGGCAUUGCCUUCAAAACUGCACGGCUAGAGUAUGGGAGAGGAAGGUAGAAUUCCAGGUGUAGCGGUGAAAUGCGUAGAGAUCUGGAGGAAUACCGAUGGCGAAGGCAGCCUUCUGGCCUAAUACUGACGCUGAGGUGCGAAAGCAUGGGGAGCAAACAGG